AAGCUUUUGAGAUACAGCCACAGAAUCUCAGUACAGUACAUAGGAAAUGACUCAUAGAGGAGUUGAAUCCAACGCGUGGGUGUGGGCGCUAUUAAAACAAGACUGAAAGUUUGGGGUGGGUCAUUCACACGCGCUGCUUUUGCUAUGCUUGAAACCCAUUUGUGGCUUUUAAUCUUUUGAAAUCGCUGUGGGAUUUCAAUAUAUAUAAAGCUCAAUGGAUUCCGGUGCUAUGUUGCGUUGCCUCUAUUGGAUUACUCUAUUGAUCGCCACGCUUAUUCAUGGAAUAAACGCGGAUAAAAGUUCAGCCCUUUGUUUGAAAUCGGAAUUCUGGAACAAAGAUGUCGCACAAUGUGUACCUUGUUAUAUAUGCAAACAGUACCCGAAAACCCCAUCAUGUGACACAUGCCCACCCAUAGAGCCUUCGAAUUCCUGGAGGGUGGCAGCAAUUACCAGUUUAUCUGUCCUGGCAGCCGUAAUUGUUAGCGGAGCCUUGCUCAUAGGCGUUCUAGUACAUCAAUGCAGGUCCAAGAGGACCUUACGUGGUGAGAUGUUAACAUUACAGCAUCUUUUUAACAACAAACACUCUCCUUCAGAGCAGGACUCAAAACUAACUCAACUUUUUCUGUUCACAACUCAGAACCGAUUGAAGAGACAACAGGACCCCUUUAUCCAGUAUAGGUUCUUCAUAAGGUAGGGGUUGAAAAAUGCAACACUUCUUAGGAUGCUUUGAAAUGCAUUAAGGUAAUUAGUUUUGUUCAUAUGCAAUCUUUUAAAUGUUUGCAGCUCAUGGAACUCAAGCUGACAGCAUAUGAAAAUGGACUGUUACUCCAGUCAGUUAAACACAGGCUGGUACCUCAACCACAGAGUGUUCUAGGAGUAGCAUCUGAUUUGUCUAAUUUAUUACAUUAGUAGGCUAUGUCAUGCAUAGCAAAUGAUUAUGCAAAAAAGCUGCACUGAGACCUUCCUUGUCACUCACUGUGCAGAACAGGUUUGCAAGCCUUAGGUGCUACGUGACAUCCUAUAGACAGCAAGAUAGCAUAUUUUAUAUUCCUUUUUUUGGAACCCCUCAAAUGCUUUAGUGACAGGUUUUGUUACACUGUUUUUGCAAAAAAUGUGUGGCCAUUCAUGUUGCACUUAGAGUGCACUGUAGAUGCAUUUCCACCUGAAUAUUCCUUGUUAGAUUUGCAAACACGAUAAACACAAAUAACCGAAACUAGUUUAACAUAGACUUAGAGAUGAUCCUUUUUUACACAAAUAUGCCUUAUAGACAGACUAAGUAUGGCACAUAGCCAUUUGAAUGUAUUUGUAAUCUUUGUACAGUUUAAUUAUCUAUUUUUAUAGUGUUGGAAUACUAUGCACUGUAUAGAUGUAGCCCUUUGUACAACAAUAUUCUGACACUGACUGGCUCAGCAGCCCGUCUAUGGCAUUGAUGAACAUUCUGGAGAUGUGGAGGCACUGAAGAGCAGCGAAGACAAAGCAUUACCUGAAAGUGAAGAGUUGCCAGCUGACAUGAACAGAUUCUUUAAAAGAGCUGCAGGUGUCAGAUUCAAUCUUAGUUUUCCUACCUUUAUGCGCAUAAGAGAUUAGAUAGUUUAGUGUGAUAUUUACAUACAUCUAUCGUGAUGCAUUUAAUCUCUCGUGUUUUGAAGAUGUGUGUAGCCUGCUGUGGGCAUUAGGAAAUGUAUAUAUUUAUAUGCAGCAGAUGCUGAGGAGUAAUGAAAUUAACUUGUUUGAAAGACAUCAAGCAUUUUUAGAAAGGUUAAUCUCACAAAACCUGUGAAAAAAAGGUCUGAGUCACAUUUCAACCCAGAAAUUAUUUUGCUUAAAGAAAUCAUCUUUUUUUUUUUUGCAGUGUUACAUUGUUUUCAAGAAAACUAAGCACAUUUUAUAUGCCAAUUCCCAAGAAUACUUUAUGUACCUCAAUGCAAAUCACUGCCAUGUUUGUCAGAAAUCUAGAAACAUCAAGAAGCUAGUCCAGAAUCUUGAUAAACAUAAACCUGCGAAGCAUGCACAGCACUGUCACAGUCUUGAGUAAAGUUGGUUGUGUAUAUGUGCCUUUACUCAUUCACAAUUACUCCACAGACUGCAGAGGAAACUAUGCAUUUGAAUGCAAUAAAGAGACAACUAAUGUAC
This 2133-nucleotide long non-coding RNA is filed under the name Sinocyclocheilus grahami. RNAcentral's name for it is "lncRNA (ENSSGRG00000047113.1)". Lineage: Eukaryota; Metazoa; Chordata; Actinopteri; Cypriniformes; Cyprinidae. The record is from RNAcentral.